RNAcentral lists this microRNA precursor (100 nucleotides) under Brassica rapa (field mustard). Its description in RNAcentral is "MIR391 microRNA precursor family". It matches the Rfam family "MIR391 microRNA precursor family". The record is from Rfam by way of RNAcentral. Lineage: Eukaryota; Viridiplantae; Streptophyta; Magnoliopsida; Brassicales; Brassicaceae.
GCACAUAUAGAUUUGCUUCGCAGGAGAGAUAGCGCCAUCACAUUUUCUAAGAGUUUAGCUGAUGACGGUAUCUCUCCUACGUAGCUAUCCUUAUAUGUGC